UUCUCAAAAUAUAUGGGAAAAUUCAAGGAA
This 30-nucleotide non-coding RNA is filed under the name Rattus norvegicus (Norway rat). Lineage: Eukaryota; Metazoa; Chordata; Mammalia; Rodentia; Muridae. The record is from RNAcentral.